GCCUCAGAAGAGAGUUUCAGCACUCCUGAGCUGUGCAGAAGGACACCAUUGCAUUUGUGCACACAGGAAGCGUAAUUGGGAGGGCAUAUGGACAGGGCACCCACAGCCCCUAUUGAAAGCUAGACAUAGGCAGCUGGGCUUGUCUUAGGACCCUAAUCAGUGACUGUUGACUGGACCAAGGGCACACCUGACCAAGGAAGAAGCAAUGUGCGUGGCUUGAGAAAAUGAGAUUCUCUGGAAAUGUGAAUGAAUAACUGGAGUCGUAGUGGGCGUGGUCCUGGACAUUGGCCUGCUAAAGUGGGAGCUAGAAUGGGUACUGCAGGAAGAGUAAAGCCUGUGGGUGGGUGGAAUAUGGCAGACAGGAAGAGCCUUACUAGCAAGACAAUCUGUGGGGAGAAGCAGAUGAAUGGAAGAGAGGGGGCAAAAGGGAGAGGGAGAGACAGAUGAGAAUUCAGGCAACCGUAUGGGAGCCAGAAGACUUGUAUCUCUACUGCUGGUUUGAGUUCCUGUGUAAAUGCUCAGCUGUCCUUUACUUCCCAUCCUUGGAUGCUGGUCUGCAUUUGCAGUUGGAGUAAAGUUUUUGCGACUAGAGACUGGGUAGAUUGUAGAGAGCUGGAGUAACGUGGCAGAGCAGGUAAGAGGUGACCAGGUAUGACAGGUGGGAAGCUGGGGG
RNAcentral lists this long non-coding RNA (673 nucleotides) under Pan troglodytes (chimpanzee). Its description in RNAcentral is "long non-coding RNA NONPTRT001915". The record is from RNAcentral. Lineage: Eukaryota; Metazoa; Chordata; Mammalia; Primates; Hominidae.